Molecule: long non-coding RNA, 2478 nt
Organism: Herpailurus yagouaroundi (jaguarundi)
Lineage: Eukaryota; Metazoa; Chordata; Mammalia; Carnivora; Felidae
Exons: 5
Source: RefSeq, a predicted model, not a curated record
CGGGCGCGCGGGAAGCCUCGGGCCGCCUCGGGUCCUAGCGCCCGCCCGGUCCUUUUCCGGAGGUCCUGCCCCGGGUCCUAGCGCCCGCCGAUCUUUCCCGGAGUUCUUUCCACCUGCUUCUCCAGGCCGCUGGCUCUGCCCCGCUGGCCGCCCACGUGCUCUGCGCUUCCUCCUGUGGCCGAGUUCCGGGCAGCCACGAAAGUGACAUGAGCCAUACUGAUUAAAUAGUAACAUGUGAAGUACGAGGACUGGACAGGCCGAUGCUGACCUGGGUGGACCUGUGCUCGCCCACAGCCUUCGAGGAGACUCAGCCCCGCGCCCACAGCACGGAGCCCGGCCCUUCUACCCCUUCCUGCGAGCCUGAUGCGCCUCCCGGUUUCCGUCUGGCUCGGAUAAGGAAGCAUCUUUCUGCUGGCCGAGUCCCUUCAUCGCCCGAGCACAGUUUCCAGAACUCAGGGGGCUUCUGGAGCAGAGUUCUGGAACUCCAGGCUCGGUAGGAUGGUUAUGGGCGCAACGUUGUUGAAGCCACGCCAUCCGGAGUCUAUAACCAAGCAUAUCUGGUGGCGUGGUCUUUUCCUGUGAGGCUUUGAAGACUUGUGCUUUGUUGAAGAUAAAGCUGGCCUGUGGCUGAUUGCAGAUGCUUUCAGGGAAGUGAAGUAAAACAGAAUGACUAUGUAUAGAUGUCAGAAGAUUUAAAGGGGCCGUAAUUAAUUUAUUACUUAACGAUUUUCAAAAGCAAGAGAUCUGGUGAGAAUUCAUAACGAGGAGACUGCCACUAAGGAGUUUUGGUUGUUUCUGUGAUACAAAAACGAGAUGAGAAAGCCAAUCCAAAAUAAGUUUUAGACAAAAUAGCUACAGACAUAGUGAUCUACCAUAUUUUCAAAGGAGGUAGAAAACACUGCAUGGGACUUAUAGCAGUGGAUGAACAUAAUUCCCACAGAGAAAAAGUCUUGACACAGACAUAUAAUAAUCCUGAGACCUAAUGUGCUGCAAAUAUACAAAUCACAUAGUAAGAAUAAUAUAUCAACAAUAUGAGACAGUUGUGGUAAGUCUGGAGUAAGUUCUACAUAUUUAUACAUUAAUUAGACUCCCUAGGCAAGUGAUGUAAAUCCCAUUUGAAAUUCAGAAGCCCAGAAGACGCUAGAUUCAAGUUAAACAAGUAAAGUUGCGACCAAGUAAACGUUUAAAAAAAUAGCUACAAUCAUGACUGAUGACACUUCACUACUGUUGUCUAAUAUCAGAGAAAACAGCACCAGGACUUUCUAUGUUGGUGGAAACAUGUCAUGGACAGUAGGAGCAACGAUAAGUCUCCAGGAAUUUCCCAUUCGGUGUACAAUUUCUGAAAUAUUUAUAUUAACGUUUCAGCCAUGCAAAUCUGACUUAGGGAAGCCUAGGCCUUCCUCCUCCUCCUCCUCCUCCUCCUCCUCCUCCUCCUUUUCCUCCUCCCCCUCCCCCUCCUUCUGAUAUCCCUUCUGAUUUUCACCUCUUCCUGUGCAACUCAUCACUAAUAGCCUAUCAAAUAGCCCUGGUUCUCUUCACUAUCUGCCUUUUUGCAAGGGGACAGAACGCAUCGUUAGGAUUUUCCAGGCACCUCCGGGGAAGUCUCAACCACAGGUGUAGGUGGAAACAGUACCUUGAAAGUUUUAGUUGACAUUUACGAUUCGACUGGGGGAAGGCAAAGGUUAAAACCGAUCAGAACAUCUGAACACUUAGGAGAGGAAACAAACCAUGAUUGCUGGAGAACUUACGUGGCUAUUGGUUUCAAAGUUACAAUAAAACAGUUAAAACUAAGCACAGAAGGUAACGUGACUGUAAACGACAUGAUUCCUAUGUGAGAAACCGUUGUUUUCUUCAGGAGAGACGACACAAUCAGUGUAAACUAUAAAGCUUAUUCUGCUAAAAAACAGAAUCUUGGCUGUCGGAGAAGGUUACACCGGGGAAACAGAAAGAACCGGUCAUAUUAUGGGUGAGGGCACCGAGCAGUUAACCAAAGGAACAAACACAUCAAAGUGAAGCAAACCUUCCCAGAUUUUGGUAUAUUCCGUGGCUCUUCAAACUCAGCUUUUCCAGCGUAAAGGGCCCGUGAAAUCCCAGGCUUCUGACCUCCCUCCCAGGGGAACCGACUGGAACGCCGAAGAACGAAACAAGACACAGGAGGCUCUCGCGAUCUAAUUGAUCCUCAGCGUGAGAAGUGUCCUGCCCGUUCCAGAAUGUACAUGUUAGGGGCUGUGUGGUGUAUCGUGGUUAUUAGACCGCUGUGAAUCUGGGAUCUGGAAAGAUCGUCCCCCGUUAUGUUACCCACUGGCCUGUUGAUGGAGGAACCUAAUGGCGGAUCCUUACUUUUGUUAAGGGUUUGUCUUCCCCCCCCCCCCCCCCGCCCCAUGGUUUGCCCUUUUGAGGUUAGGCUUAAAGGGCCUUUCUCUGUUACUAAGUUAAAAACUGUUCUCUCUCAACAAAAAAUGUGCCGAUUUUCUUUUU